RNAcentral lists this ribosomal RNA (247 nucleotides) under Staphylococcus aureus. Its description in RNAcentral is "partial 23S ribosomal RNA". It matches the Rfam family "Bacterial large subunit ribosomal RNA", at positions 12 to 256 of the family's 2925-position model. Lineage: Bacteria; Bacillati; Bacillota; Bacilli; Caryophanales; Staphylococcaceae. RNAcentral also lists the same sequence under 4 other names. The record is from RNAcentral.
UAAGGGCGCACGGUGGAUGCCUUGGCACUAGAAGCCGAUGAAGGACGUUACUAACGACGAUAUGCUUUGGGGAGCUGUAAGUAAGCUUUGAUCCAGAGAUUUCCGAAUGGGGAAACCCAGCAUGAGUUAUGUCAUGUUAUCGAUAUGUGAAUACAUAGCAUAUCAGAAGGCACACCCGGAGAACUGAAACAUCUUAGUACCCGGAGGAAGAGAAAGAAAAUUCGAUUCCCUUAGUAGCGGCGAGCGA